UGUGAUCCCGUGUUCGAGACUCCCGUCCGUUUGCCCUGUGACACCUUCCCCGGUUCCAGGUCUGCCACACGGAAGGGAAUCUCGAAUCCGGGUCGCUAGAGG
RNAcentral lists this non-coding RNA (102 nucleotides) under unclassified sequences. Its description in RNAcentral is "mraW RNA". It matches the Rfam family "mraW RNA". The record is from RNAcentral.